Long non-coding RNA from Cavia porcellus (domestic guinea pig), 1306 nucleotides. RefSeq lists it as uncharacterized. The transcript is spliced from 5 exons. Lineage: Eukaryota; Metazoa; Chordata; Mammalia; Rodentia; Caviidae. The record is from RefSeq and is a predicted model, not a curated record.
UGUUCUACGGAUUUUUUGACCCGGAAGAUAAUAAGGAAGGUGCAGCUUCCAGCCCUCUCCACCCAUAGCAUACGCCCCCACCCAGUCACAUCACUGCUUCCCAACCGGGUCUGCACUUGGACUCAUCUUACUCAACCUGUGCCCCAGGCAUCCACCUUCCAGGGAUGGGUACAGACAAAGGAGGGGACCAGGCCACCAUGACUGAAAGGCAUUCUGUGGCACGCAGGACACGACAGGAAUGCAACGGAUCUUUGGUGAAUGAUUGAAAGAGUGGAAAUCACAAAUGACCAAACAGGUGUAGCAUUCGUUUUCAUGCUGGUGUUUUCCUCCUCCUCCACAUACAAUCCCUGGACUCCUGGCCCAGACUGACCGAGCACUCCCGCACAGUAGCUGAGUCAUGGAGGCAGUGAAAGGUGCCCAGAAUCCCCCGCACGGUGCCGAGGGUGAGCUGGUGCAUGCCAACUCAUUGCUCUGCGAAGCCCUGGGCUGCCACUGAGUCCUGCGGGAGCAGCGUUCUUUGCAAAGUGCUCCACAGCUCCAACCCCUUCCAGGAGCACAGCCUGGCAGAAACCACCAGGGUCUCUUCUCUCAGACUGUGGGAGCUGCCCAGUUGGAAGCUGUAGGGGGCAGGCAGCUCUUCCUCAUCAUCACAUUACCUGAAAUUCAGAAUCUCCACCGAAUUUCAGCAGCCUCACCAGCUAGUGUUCUAGCCUAGAGGUGCUCCGGUCCCUCCGCAAUUCACACCUUGGUGCUGCAGAAGCUUCAAAUGCAGUGCAGCUGGGAGCCACUUGGAGAACUUACUAUACACGAUGGUUUCUGCCUAAAUGCCCUUCUUCAUCACCCAGAAUCUCAAACAUCCUGAUUUCAGUGCUCUGCACUUUGGAAAACACUCAGUGUGAGGGUGAAGUGACAUUUUACCUAGCUUAGAGACACCACCUUCUUUCCCCAUCAUCUCUACUUCGGCUGCUGAAAGGUGGCAAUGUCAGAUACGAGCAGACAACGUGCGAUUCAGGUCGCUGAGCGGAAUGGGCUCACCACGCUGCAGAGUUACAUGUUCUGUUCACCCCUCCAAAUAUUAAGGCAUCCAACUUCUAGAUCUGGCCAACGAACCUCAGAAUGUUGUUUUGAGACAUUCAGAGCUCUAAUUCACUCAUCUUAAAUGGCACAAAACAGAGCUCCUGCUUCUCUCUCUUUGUGAAAGUACGGUUUUAAAAAUUAUAUGAUAAAUAUAUCAUUGCGAAGGAUUUUCAAGUUCUGUUCCUUUCUUUUCACCCUUGCUUCCUCUCCCAUCCCUUCUUUGCCUUCU